This 622-nucleotide ribosomal RNA is filed under the name uncultured archaeon. Its description in RNAcentral is "bacterial SSU rRNA". It matches the Rfam family "Archaeal small subunit ribosomal RNA", at positions 147 to 776 of the family's 1478-position model. The record is from RNAcentral.
UAAUACUCCAUAGAUUAGAGACACUGGAAUGUUCUUUAGUCGAAAGUUCUGGCGCCUUAGGAUGGAUCUGCGGUCGAUUAGGUUGUUGUUGGGGUAACGGCCCAACAAGCCUGUAAUCGAUACGGGUUGUGGGAGCAAGAGCCCGGAGAUGGAAUCUGAGACACGAUUCCAGGCCCUACGGGGCGCAGCAGGCGCGAAAACUUUACAAUGCAGGAAACUGUGAUAAGGGAACUCCGAGUGCCCGUAUACGCGGGCUGUCCAGGUGUUUAAAAAUCAUCUGAAGAAAGGGCCGGGCAAGACCGGUGCCAGCCGCCGCGGUAAUACCGGCGGCUCGAGUGGUGGCCACUAUUAUUGGGCUUAAAGCGUCCGUAGCUGGACCGAUAAGUCUCUUGGGAAAUCCGCCGGCUCAACCGGCGGGCGUCUAAGGGAUACUGUUAGUCUAGGGACCGGGAGAGGUGAGAGGUACUCCGGGGGUAGGAGUGAAAUCCUGUAAUCCCCGGGGGACCACCGAUGGCGAAGGCAUCUCACCAGAAUGGCUCCGACAGUGAGGGACGAAAGCUGGGGGAGCGAACCGGAUUAGAUACCCGGUAGUCCCAGCCGUAACUAUGCGCGUUAGGUGUAC